CCCAAUCCUGAGCUCCGUACGCGGUGGGAACUCAACCAACCGCUGGUUGUGCUCUAGUAUUUAGCAUCUUGAAGGUUACGCUAAAUUGGGCCACCGAGGGGAAUACCCGGGCCGGUUGGAUUUACCCAAAACAUUCACCUUCAGGUUGGAUUCGUUUCGUACCCUUACUUCCGUCCGACGCGGGUAUCGAAUUACUUCCGGCCCUUUUGGGUGGAACCGGUUCCAGCAAAAACCCAACGUCCGUGUCACAAAUCCAGCGUCCAGCAUCCAAUUUGCGGCCCUCGAUCGCUCGUAGUACGAUAGCAUGAGAAAUUAUCCAAAAAGUUCUUACGAUGCCAAGACAAACACCCAACCAAAACGCAAGACGCGCAAAACAAAACCCUCACACGCUACCUCAACCUUGGACGAGGUUAUGUUUACACGCCGAAGCUUUUGGGGUGGAAGCCAUUUUUUCGUGUGGUUCGCUGCCCAAAACGUAAACAACAUUAGACGCCGUUUGUCUUCCUUCUGGGUGGAAUCUCUAUCUGUUUCGGUGGACACGACCGGUGGUGGCUUUCUCUCCAAAUUUUGGCGAUUUAUGUAAAAGAAACAACAAAUCCCACGAAAACUAGUUCCUGAAUCCAGUUUGGUCUCGCGCGGGUGCCAACCUAAACCAUUUCUCGACCUGGUACAAACAUAUAAAAACAAGCAAAUAAAAAAUAUUGUACCGAUAAA
This is a long non-coding RNA of Anopheles stephensi (Asian malaria mosquito), 714 nucleotides long. RefSeq lists it as uncharacterized. The transcript has 2 exons. Lineage: Eukaryota; Metazoa; Arthropoda; Insecta; Diptera; Culicidae. The record is from RefSeq and is a predicted model, not a curated record.